This 497-nucleotide ribosomal RNA is filed under the name uncultured bacterium. Its description in RNAcentral is "partial 16S ribosomal RNA". It matches the Rfam family "Bacterial small subunit ribosomal RNA", at positions 28 to 507 of the family's 1533-position model. The record is from RNAcentral.
GAUGAACGCUGGCGGCGUGCCUAAUACAUGCAAGUCGAGCGAACAGAUGAGGAGCUUGCUCCUCUGACGUUAGCGGCGGACGGGUGAGUAACACGUGGAUAACCUACCUAUAAGACUGGGAUAACUUCGGGAAACCGGAGCUAAUACCGGAUAAUAUAUUGAACCGCAUGGUUCAAUAGUGAAAGACGGUUUUGCUGUCACUUAUAGAUGGAUCCGCGCCGCAUUAGCUAGUUGGUAAGGUAACGGCUUACCAAGGCAACGAUGCGUAGCCGACCUGAGAGGAUGAUCGGCCACACUGGAACUGAGACACGGUCCAGACUCCUACGGGAGGCAGCAGUAGGGAAUCUUCCGCAAUGGGCGAAAGCCUGACGGAGCAACGCCGCGUGAGUGAUGAAGGUCUUCGGAUCGUAAAACUCUGUUAUUAGGGAAGAACAAAUGUGUAAGUAAAUAUGCACGUCUUGACGGUACCUAAUCAGAAAGCCACGGCUAACUACGUG